RNAcentral lists this ribosomal RNA (498 nucleotides) under uncultured Flavobacteriaceae bacterium. Its description in RNAcentral is "bacterial SSU rRNA". It matches the Rfam family "Bacterial small subunit ribosomal RNA", at positions 75 to 572 of the family's 1533-position model. The record is from RNAcentral. Lineage: Bacteria; Pseudomonadati; Bacteroidota; Flavobacteriia; Flavobacteriales; Flavobacteriaceae.
GCAGCUUGCUGCUUUGAGACCGGCGCACGGGUGCGUAACGCGUAUACAAUCUACCUUUUACAGAGGGAUAGCCCAGAGAAAUUUGGAUUAAUACCUCAUAGUAUUUUCGAAUCGCAUGAUUUGAUCAUUAAAGUUCCAACGGUAAAAGAUGAGUAUGCGUCCCAUUAGCUAGAUGGUAAGGUAACGGCUUACCAUGGCAACGAUGGGUAGGGGUCCUGAGAGGGAGAUCCCCCACACUGGUACUGAGACACGGACCAGACUCCUACGGGAGGCAGCAGUGAGGAAUAUUGGACAAUGGGCGCAAGCCUGAUCCAGCCAUGCCGCGUGCAGGAAGACGGUCCUAUGGAUUGUAAACUGCUUUUAUACAGGAAGAAACACACCCUCGUGAGGGUACUUGACGGUACUGUAUGAAUAAGCAUCGGCUAACUCCGUGCCAGCAGCCGCGGUAAUACGGAGGAUGCAAGCGUUAUCCGGAAUCAUUGGGUUUAAAGGGUCCGU